This 462-nucleotide ribosomal RNA is filed under the name Streptococcus sp. oral taxon 064. RNAcentral's name for it is "bacterial SSU rRNA". It matches the Rfam family "Bacterial small subunit ribosomal RNA", at positions 28 to 474 of the family's 1533-position model. Lineage: Bacteria; Bacillati; Bacillota; Bacilli; Lactobacillales; Streptococcaceae. The record is from RNAcentral.
GACGAACGCUGGCGGCGUGCCUAAUACAUGCAAGUAGAACGCUGAAGGAGGAGCUUGCUCUUCUGGAUGAGUUGCGAACGGGUGAGUAACGCGUAGGUAACCUGCCUGGUAGCGGGGGAUAACUAUUGGAAACGAUAGCUAAUACCGCAUAAGAGUAGAUGUUGCAUGACAUUUGCUUAAAAGGUGCAAUUGCAUCACUACCAGAUGGACCUGCGUUGUAUUAGCUAGUUGGUGAGGUAACGGCUCACCAAGGCGACGAUACAUAGCCGACCUGAGAGGGUGAUCGGCCACACUGGGACUGAGACACGGCCCAGACUCCUACGGGAGGCAGCAGUAGGGAAUCUUCGGCAAUGGACGGAAGUCUGACCGAGCAACGCCGCGUGAGUGAAGAAGGUUUUCGGAUCGUAAAGCUCUGUUGUAAGAGAAGAACGAGUGUGAGAGUGGAAAGUUCACACUGGGACG